RNAcentral lists this ribosomal RNA (546 nucleotides) under uncultured bacterium. Its description in RNAcentral is "bacterial SSU rRNA". It matches the Rfam family "Bacterial small subunit ribosomal RNA", at positions 356 to 896 of the family's 1533-position model. The record is from RNAcentral.
GGGGAAUAUUGCACAAUGGGGGGAACCCUGAUGCAGCCAUGCCGCGUGAAUGAAGAAGGCCUUCGGGUUGUAAAGUUCUUUCGGUGACGAGGAAGGUUGGUAGGUUAAUAGCCUAUCAAAUUGACGUUAAUCACAGAAGAAGCACCGGCUAACUCCGUGCCAGCAGCCGCGGUAAUACGGGGGGUGCGAGCGUUAAUCGGAAUAACUGGGCGUAAAGGGCACGCAGGCGGUGACUUAAGUGAGAUGUGAAAGCCCCGAGCUUAACUUGGGAAUUGCAUUUCAUACUGGGUCGCUAGAGUACUUUAGGGAGGGGUAGAAUUCCACGUGUAGCGGUGAAAUGCGUAGAGAUGUGGAGGAAUACCGAAGGCGAAGGCAGCCCCUUGGGAAUGUACUGACGCUCAUGUGCGAAAGCGUGGGGAGCAAACAGGAUUAGAUACCCUGGUAGUCCACGCUGUAAACGAUGUCGAUUUGGGGAUUGGGCUUUGAGCUUGGUGCCCGUAGCUAACGUGAUAAAUCGACCGCCUGGGGAGUACGGCCGCAAGGUUA